Neofelis nebulosa (Clouded leopard) is the source of this 134-nucleotide small nucleolar RNA. RefSeq annotates it as small nucleolar RNA SNORA72. Lineage: Eukaryota; Metazoa; Chordata; Mammalia; Carnivora; Felidae. The record is from RefSeq and is a predicted model, not a curated record. The transcript has a single exon.
CUGCAAAUAUUUUUGCUGUUCUGAUUUUGUAAUAAUCAGGGCAGGCUAAAUAUUCACUAUAUUAAGACCAUGAAUGUGGGGGCGCCUGGGUGGCUCAGUCAGUUGUGCAUCUGACUUCAGCUCAAGUCAUGAUU